AGGCAGGCAGAGAGAGCAGGGGAAGCAGGCUCCCUGCUGAGCAGAAAGCCCAAUGCGGGGCUCGAUUCCAGGACCCUGAGAUCAUGACCUGAGCCGAAGGCAGAGACUUUAACCCACUGAGGCACCCAGUGUGGGAGAUAUUCUGUAAUGAGGAUUUCCUGAGUUGUACAAGUGUGGAUAUUUUCAGCUCUUCAAGGUAUUGAUUACUAAAUCGCUCUUGGGAGUGGGUAUACCAGUUUAUGGUUUCAUC
RNAcentral lists this long non-coding RNA (250 nucleotides) under Mustela putorius furo (domestic ferret). RNAcentral describes it as "lncRNA (ENSMPUG00000027894.1)". The record is from RNAcentral. Lineage: Eukaryota; Metazoa; Chordata; Mammalia; Carnivora; Mustelidae.